CGACCGUUAUCCGUGAUUAUGAAGAGAAUCAGUUAUCUUUACCAGGGCUGAUUAGCUGCACUUACUGAACCAGACAGAAGCACCUUCAGCAGACGCAAGCUGGCGACCGAGCAGGAAAGGAAUGCAAGAAGGAGGAGGAAGAGGAGUAUGAGGUGGAGAAGGUUUUGGACCGCAGAGUGGUGAGGGAAGAGUAGAGUUUCUGCUGAAAUGGAAGGGGUUCUCAGAUGAAGAUAACACAUGGGAGCCGCAAGACAACCUGGACCUGGACCUUAUCGCCGAGUACAUGCAGAAACACAAGGAGACGGAGGAGAAGAAGGAGGAGGGCAAGAGGAAAGGUGUCAGGGAGGAGGAGGCACUUCAGAAGAUGGCAAGCUGGCGACGGAGCAGGAAAGAAGGGCAAGAAAGAGGAGGAGGAGUCUGCAGCAGUGAAAGAGAAGGGAGGAUGAGGCUGCAGCAGUGAAAGAGGAAGAGGAGUAUGUGGUGGAGAAGGUUUGGACCGCAGAGUGGUGAAGGGAAGAGUAGAGUUUCUGCUGAAAUGGAAGGGGUUCUCAGAUGAGGAUACACAAUGGGAGCCACAAGACAACCUGGACCUUGACCUUAUCACCGAGUACCUGC
This is a long non-coding RNA of Etheostoma spectabile (orangethroat darter), 615 nucleotides long. RefSeq lists it as uncharacterized. The record is from RefSeq and is a predicted model, not a curated record. The transcript is spliced from 5 exons. Lineage: Eukaryota; Metazoa; Chordata; Actinopteri; Perciformes; Percidae.